Molecule: long non-coding RNA, 2086 nt
Organism: Peromyscus leucopus (white-footed mouse)
Lineage: Eukaryota; Metazoa; Chordata; Mammalia; Rodentia; Cricetidae
Exons: 4
Source: RefSeq, a predicted model, not a curated record
CAUCACUCCCCAUUAACACCAGGGUGCUUGUCUAUGAGCAUGAAUGUCGUGGCCGAGGUGUUCUCUCCUGGGGAACCCCAGCAGUAUAACAGGCUAGGCUCCCCUUUCGUUCCAUUAAGACCCCACCAAAGAUGUUCCAUGUACGCACCCCGUUACAUAAAGGGCAUGAAGAUUAAUUACCUGGAGGCUCUUUGCAGCCACAAGUCUCUCUCCAUGUGCCUUGGAAGCCCUUAGACUCAUUGCUCACCCCAGGAGCAGGACAGUUGGGGGAAGCACCUCCCCCCGCCAGCUCUAAAGAGAGCAGACAUUCUACAGUCACCAUCACCCAGUCCACCAGUCCCCACCACCGACAUUCCCUGGGAUUUUGUCAACUGAGCCUGUGGGCCCUCUUGGCUGUGUGACCACGGCGGAACUCUUCUCCCAUCUGGUCUAAAGGCUGGAACUUCCCACCUCUGCUGUUCACUUCGUCCUCCGAUUCGGCCACGAUUUCCUAACACUGACCAGAGGAGACCUUGACUUUGCCAUCUCUGCAUCAUCGUCCGUCGAUCGGAUCUGGAAGACCCAAGAAUGUUUAAUGCCUUUGGGUUUGACUAUCUCAAUUCUCUCUCUUAAAUAUGACAAGGCUCUGGUCUAGAUGCAAAGCAUCCUUAGCUGAGCCUUGCUCGGCCGUGUCUGGUGCCGUAUAGAGGGUCAGGGGGGAGGCCUGUCGGGACACUGAAUAGGAAGGACUCUGGAGCCACAGGAAGGACUCACGGAGGUAAAGGAAACCAGCAGCUGCAAUUUGCUGCUGCUGAAAAUGCCCUUGACUCCUGAGGGAAGGAGUGAUUUUCAGAAACACCUGGUAUAGACCUCUCUGGCUCCCAUCUAGCAGCCUGUGGGGGCAAGUAAAUCCUAAUCACCUGGGGGAGCCCCUGGACUUGAGUGGUGCAGUGUUGGAGCAGACGCAGCUACACGGCACUCCCAAGUUAUAUGGAUGGCAAUGUUCUGUUUGCGGAGCCAUGUGGGGCACGUGACCUGCUGGUACUCUACGGGUGCUUCCUGCUUCGGCAGCUGAAGUCUUUCCAUAAGAGGUUGAGUGAAGUGACCGAACAGAGAGACACUGGGUGACUUUGAUGGGCCAUGGUGGGUGCCUCUGGCCAACACCUAAUGCUUCAUGGACUGGCUGUAGCAGUGGCCCGGAUGCUGUCGACUGGGCAUUUAUGCCAUUGGGUUUGAAUAGGAGGCGAGGCCAUCAGUCAGCUGGAGACAUUCGCACCCUACACGGUUUCAAGAGUGGAUGCUACUGGAAGUGUGGCCCUGACAUUGCUUCUGCGCUAGUCUGACCUUGGACACGCAGGUUACAUAAGGAAACUUGAAUAAUUCUGAGGGCUUGAGACAUCUUGGAUUCCAAGUACAUCCACUGCUCAGCCACGCUCUGUGCCAGCUGCCAGUGCCUCCCCCACUCUUGUCAGUACAUAAUCUGCCCCAUUACACUGAUUUAGGAGAAAAAUGCAGUUCGUUUAACUUUUGUUCCUAAAGAAUGAGAAGAACUUCUGUUGGGAGCAGUUAAGGACAGAGAACCAGAAUGCCUCACCCAAGGGCAGACAUGGAGGACACAAUGGUGCCGAUGGUUGCCGAUGCCUGUGCAAGAAGCGUCCCGUUUAGACAUGGCAUCUCACCAGCCAGUGUCGUAUUCACAAUCAAGUUCUCAGCCACGUCCUCUGAACAGAUGGGAUACCAAGAUAGGCGGGUCAAAAGUGUUGGGAAUGGAUUUAUACAACUGACGUCUGAGGAAUAAAAACGGGCAAGGCGGCCUGAUGAAAGUCCAACACCAUUUCCAGAAGCUGUGUGCGGCUGUGUGGAGGAGGCACAGGGGACCCAGGAUCGGGACAGGACUCCCAAGCUUAUGAUGUGUGUGACCAAGGGCAUAUGGCAGAGCGUUUAGAAUUGAACCCUAGAGGACAAGUGCCUCUCACUGACUGUGGGAAUUGAGUGAUUUCAUUUUUCUUUGCCUCGCUUUUCUUAUAGAAAAUGAAGAUAAAGAUCAACAAAAUAUGUGUUAGCUUGUCAUCACAGGAAAGCUGAAUAAGAAGCCAUGAUUGAUAUA